Long non-coding RNA from Anguilla rostrata (American eel), 648 nucleotides. RefSeq lists it as uncharacterized. The record is from RefSeq and is a predicted model, not a curated record. NCBI's taxonomy places the organism in Eukaryota, Metazoa, Chordata, Actinopteri, Anguilliformes, Anguillidae. The transcript is spliced from 2 exons.
GGGGUGCUGCGGGGCGAGACAAAGGAAAUUCACCAAUCAGCAAGAGGGGCAGUACAGCAUUUUUUAACUUCUUAAAUAAGUUUUGCUGCCCAACGUGAGCCUGAACAAGUCCAAUUCCCACCCUGAUUUGGAAUGUCCAAUCAGCUACUUGCUCUUUGCAGGCGUGGUCAUGCUCUGUCCCCAGUGCCAGUUCAGAAGAGCGUAGCCAUCCUCCAAAACAUGUGGCAUCACCAGCCUGUUUCUUAUAACACCGCGGCCCAAAGCCAAGCUGGCACAGAACGAGCCGGAAGAAAGCCUUUCCUACGUGGCUUUGGUAUGCAGUCCAAGGGUGCCCAGUCAACCAGUUGGGGUCGCUAGAGAGCAAUGAAUCGCAGACCCCUAAUUGACUGAACCCUCUUGAAUGCUGGGUGACGCAAUCGGCAAUUACGCCUCACCCUAUGGAGCUACCGGCCACAGCCGGGACUAGCGAAGCCUGGAUUCCAUCCAAGACUGUGGGGCUCAUCCAUGCACCACAGCACGGUGCCUUACCCGAAUGAGGCACCCAGCAGCCCCGGACAGCAUUUUUAAAAAGCAAACAAACUGGAAACGCAAACGCACACAAUUGUGUGUGUUUAAGUGUAUAACACGCACUGUCAAUAGAAAUAAAAA